Molecule: long non-coding RNA, 3002 nt
Organism: Acanthochromis polyacanthus (spiny chromis)
Lineage: Eukaryota; Metazoa; Chordata; Actinopteri; Pomacentridae
Exons: 4
Source: RefSeq, a predicted model, not a curated record
AUUGUGGGUUUUUCCUUCUUUAACUGAGGGGUACCAACAAUUUUGUCCACGUGUGUAUUCAUAUGGAGCUGGCCUUGGACCCAGAUGUUCAUGAUAACCACCACCCCCCUUUUUAAUCUGUAGCCUGCUAGUCCAGGGUGGGGGUUCUGAAGUGAGGGAUCAGGGGGACCUUUGGAAGGUGUUCCUCAUGCUGGUGACCUUAGAGCAGCAGCGGGCUGUGCUGAACUCUGGAACUAGAAACGCUUCUGGCCUGACAGUGGAGGAGUCUGCAAUAUCAUCCCAUGAAGCUCAUAGUGGCCACCAGGUUUAAGGUCCAAGCAGCUGAAAUGUCCAGCCCAACCAGGGAGUAUGGCCACAUUGUCAUCAUGGGUUCUGUACGGGCUGGGAGUAUCUACCUUUGAAGGAAAACAUGAAGGAGCCUUAAUCAGUCGGCUAUUGGUGUGCUAUGCAUAGCAUCCUUUGGUCUUAGCUUGUUCUCCAAACAAAUGAAAAAAGUGCUACUUACCUGGAAUAUUCUGUAGAUUUUAUCUCCAUUCGUGUCGUCCUCCCUCAGCGUUAGCCUUUUGCUUCCUUUAAAAAGGAUAGAACUGGUAGACUCCAUGGAGCACGAGGAAUUCUUGCCGGACACCAAGUGGACCAGACUAGCACCGUGACCUUCCUGACACACGGACCAAUCCAUGCGAUUAUUUAGUUAUUUCUGGGCCACAGACUGAAAAGUGUAAAAACUGAAAAUUGAAUUUGGAAAAGGAGAAAAUUAAGGCCUUUCCCCGAAAACCAAAAUUUGAGUGAGAAAUGCAAAGUUUUGUUUAAAACUACUUAAAUAGUUGUUUCAGAAAUGGCAAUAGAAAAAAUGGCCAUAAAUUUGUUUUUCAAUUUGGAUUUCAGAAUUAGAAAUAAAAUGAACGGAAAGUACACGGACCUGUGAGCUCCAUGAUUUCUGCGUGGGCUUUGUCACUCCCAAAGAGAAUAAAAUUGGAAAAGCGCUCCAUUAAAGCCGUUGUAGAUGUGUUCACGAUCCAGACCGGCUCUUAACUGUUCUUCCUCAGCGACUUCCGGUGUUGCAACAAACUAAAAAACAGCCAUAUUUUGUAUUUCGGGUUAAAAAGCUAGAGCAAAAAUCCAACUUACGGAUUUGUGUCUGACUUAAUUUCAUGAGAUUGUUCCAGAAUAAUGGACAUCAGAAAUCAGGAAAAUGGGCAACAAUUCUGGAUUAAUCUGCUGUUGGGUUUAAAACAAACAAAAAUGCUCUUUUUCCUGAUUUGUUCAUCUUUGGUUUAAAAACUUUUAGAAUACGCCUGUUUUUGUUGUUUUUCAGUUUCAACAGACGUUGGGAAAUCAGAAAAAAAAUGGCUUUUUUUGCUUAUUUGUUGUUAUUUUAAAGAAAAUAAGUUCCUGUUUUCUUGUUGUUUUUUGGGGGUUUUUUCUGUUUAUUGUUUGGUUCAUUUCUCUCUUUUUUAAUUAUUUACAUGUUUUUCAAAUAUUGGAUUUAGGAUGAUAUUUAAGAAUGUGUGGAGUAAAUUUUUCGUGCUUUCUUCCGUCCAGCCAUCAUCAUUUUGGGCUGUCUGAACUUUUUAAUAAAAUAAAGUUGAAUGAAUGUUCUCCUCUGAACGAACCGAAUAGAUCUCUACUCCAGAAAAUGUUCCACGUUUAAUCAACCUUAAAUGUGAGCAGCUCUGGAUUCUCCUCGUGUCCGUUGGAGGCGUUGGGCUGCAGCUGCUAAAUUUUGCAUCAGCUUCAGAUGCAGGUCGACUUCAUGAAACAUGGAUGAGGUUCAGUUCUUUCAUUCCACCGGCAAACAUCAAUCCAGUAAUACGACUGUUUACCCUGCUGCUGCUGCACAAAACACCUCAUCUGCAUCACACACACACACACACACACACACACACACACACACACACACACACACACACACACACACACACACACACAUACUGUGUUUUUCUGUCAUUGUGUGGACAUACCAUUGACUCCCAUUCAUAUCUACCCCCUAACCCUAACCCUAACCUUAACCUAACCUUAACCCAGACCAAAACAAUGCCUAACCCUAAAGAAACGUUUUUGCAAGUUUACUUUUUUCAGUAACAACAACAUGGCCAAGAAAACACUGUUUAAACUUGUAGGGACCAAAAUGAGGUCCCCACAAGUGACAUAGUUUUCGGUUUUCCUACAGUUGUGGGGACAUUUGGUCCCCACAAGUAUAGCCAGAGCCUGAGCACACACACACACACCCACACACACACACACACACACACACACACACACACACACACACACACACACAAUCCUUAACGCCGUUUCACAAAAAGUUUCUGGAAUCAGAGCGAACGCUGAGAUUCACAACUUCAGGAUGAAAACGUCUCUAAGGGAUUUACAGUAAUCUCAUUAUAAAACGAUGCGUUCAGGUGUCUUGUUAUGAAACGAUGCGUUCAGGUGUCUCUUUAUGAAACGAUAUGUUCAGGUGUCUCGUUAUGAAAUGAUGCGUUCAUGUGUCUCCUUAUGAAACGAUGCGUUCAGGUGUCUCGUUAUGAAAUGAUGCGUUCAGGUGUCUCCUUAUGAAACGAUGCGUUCAGGUGUCUCGUUAUGAAAUGAUGCGUUCAGGUGUCUCGUUAUGAAAUGAUGCGUUCAGGUGUCUCGUUAUGAAACGAUGCGUUCAGGUGUCUCGUUAUGAAACGAUGCGUUCAGGUGUCUCGUUAUGAAACGAUGCGUUCAGGUGUCUCCUUAUGAAACGAUGCGUUCAGGUGUCUCGUUAUGAAACGAUGCGUUCAGGUGUCUCCUUAUGAAACGAUGCGUUCAGGUGUCUCCUUAUGAAACGAUGCGUUCAGGUGUCUCGUUAUGAAACGAUGCGUUCAGGUGUCUCGUUAUGAAACGAUGCGUUCAGGUGUCUCGUUAUGAAAUGAUGCGUUCAGGUGUCUCGUUGUGAAACAAUGUGUCAAAAUCUAAAUUUCACUGGUUUUUAAAGGAGAAAACCAAACGUUAAUGAAGCAGAAAAGUCCGUGUACGGU